Molecule: long non-coding RNA, 3547 nt
Filed under: Sus scrofa (pig)
Lineage: Eukaryota; Metazoa; Chordata; Mammalia; Artiodactyla; Suidae
Description: lncRNA (ENSSSCG00000060970.1)
Source: RNAcentral
AUAUGGCUUCUGAAAAUGUUCAAAAGAAUAAUUAUUAAUAAGCAAACAUCCUCCAAGCUUCAUGUUCUUCUUCUCCAGUAGUACGUUUUCCCCUUCCAACAUUUUAUCAGAAUAUUCCUAAAAAGAACUUCAAAUUAAUAUGAUAUAUAUUUCUUAUAAAAUUUAUUAACAGGAGAACAAAUGGUUUAUGGUCUCUAAGUCUCAAGAAAAUGAAUUAAAAGUUACUUCUCAAAAGGAAUACAGACUCAAUUAGUGGCUCAAUUGGUAGUACUCUCCUCACCCAAUUAUCAGCAAAGUUUAUAAAAACUGUUUCCCAUACUAUGGUGAGAAAUAUAUAUUCCCUGUUACUAAGCACAAUAAAAAAUUAAACGUUUCAUGAAACAAACUUCUGUGUAUAUAAUGUGUUAACCCUAUUUUUGUCUAUUACAUUUUAAAAACUAAUGUUUGUGAUUCAUUUCAUUACCAAUGACCUGGCAUAUCUAGACCCAUUGUAAUAAUAAAUUGCCACUGGCCCAGCAAAGGUUAGAAAAUUCUCAUCCCUAAUUCUGGCCACUACAGUGUGACUAUGGGGCUUGGUCUGUUCAAAUUAGAUCUUUCCAGAAGGGGAUAUUGAACCUCUCUAUUUUUAAAUUAGAAAUAUAGUAUCUAUUCAUAGAAUUGCAUAAAGUGAAGAAAUUAGUAACUUACCAUGGUAAUAACACAAACACAACCAGGUGUGAGAAAUAGUAAUAUUGCGAUGAUUUUUUUAGAAGCACCUCCUUCCCUACACAAUAUCUCCUCUAUUUUCUCCAAAGGUAAAGUACUACCUUGAUUUUUAUCACUGUUUUGUAUUAUUUUGAAUUAUUCUACCUAAACAUUUAUGUUUAAACACUAUAGAGUUUUUACCUUUUGAAUUUUAUAUUACUGAAUAUUGUUAUCUAUUCUUUCAUGUUUUCUUUUAUCAUUAUAUUUUAAAGAUCCAGCUCUGAUAUCAUAUAUAACUCAUUUUUGCUGUAUCAUGUUCUAUACCCCAAAUUUACCUUUCUACUGUCAAUUACAGGACAUGCAUAUUCUUUCUAGUUUGGUGCUAUUACAAUUAAUAUUAUUAUGAAUAUUAUUCUCCAUGAUUCUUGGUAUAUAUGUGUCACAUGUUUGAAAUGUAUACACCUAGCAGUGGAAUUGCUUGAUUAUCAGAUUUAUGUUCAACACCAGUAGAAAAUGAUAGUGUUCUAUGUAAGUAGUUUCAACUUACAUGCCCAUCUGGAAUGUAGGAAAGUUGCAUUUGACCUAGAUUCUCAUCAGGACUUAGUAUGGCCCAAGUUUUUAUUUUUAGUCAUAGUGUUCAGCAUGUAUAUUAAUCUCAUUUUGGAUUUAAUUUCUUUUCACUGAUCACUAGUGAGGCUGAGCAUCUCUUCCUACAUUUUAAAGCCAUUAGAAAGCCUAUUUUAGGAGUUCCUGUUGUGGCUCAGCAGAAAUGAGCCUGACUAAUUAUCCAUGAGGACGCAGAUUCCAUCCUUGGCUCUGCUCAGUGGGUUAAGGAUCUGGUGUUGCCGUGAGCUGUGGUGUAGGUGACAGAUGAGGCUUGGAUUUUAUGUUGCGGUGCCUGUGGUGGAGGCCAGUAGCUGCAGCUGAAAGGCUAUUUUAUCAUAUUCCAUCCAGUUCAAGUCCUUCGACCUUGGUAAAUUUGGUUGUCUUUAUUUUUAUAAUUGAUUCAUGAGAGUGCCGUAUAUUCUAUGGAAAUAAAUUGUUCAAAUAAGUGUUUUAAUAUCUUGACCCACUGCCUUUUUUGCUAUUAAUAGAAAAAUUAGUUUUGAAGCAGAUUUCUUUCCCUUUAUGCUCAAUAAUUUUUGUGUCCUUUUCAAGACAAUAUAUAUCUCUCUUUGAUCAUAAUCCUGUUAUUUCUAGAAGUAACCACUGGCUUUUGUGGUAAUUAUAUUCCUGCUUUAAAAAAUGUAUAUAUUUAUUUAGUUUUUUGCUUUUUUUAGGGCCAUAGGUGUGGCAUAUGGAAGUUCCCAGGCUAGGAGGUCUAAUCAGAGUUAUAGCUGCUAGCCUAUAUAAACCACAGCCACAGCAAUGUGGAAUUUGAGUCGCGUCUGUGACCUACACCACAGCUCACAUCCACACUGGAUCCUUAACUACUGUGGGCGGCCAGGGAUCCAACUCACAUCCUCAUGGAUACUAGUCAGGUUUAUUACCGCUGAGCCAUUAUGGGAACUCCCAAAAUGUAUACAUUUAAAAAUCUAUGUACUCUUACAUAAUUUUAAAGAAUUUACCUAUUUUGAACAUUAUAUAACAUAUAAUACUUCAUCUUUUUUGUAUUGCUUCUUUUGAUCAAUAUUUUAUACAUAGUUGCUCAUAUAUUUCCAUUGAUCAAGUGUAUUCCACUACAAGUACAUAAACUUUCUUAUUUUUAUUUAUGGAUAAAUAGGUCUGUUUCUGGGAUCUCCAAUUUGUUUUCUUGGCCUGUUUGUGUAUUUUUGCAUCAUCAUCACACUGUUUUAAUUAUUUUAACUUACAAUGAGAUGUAUUGUUACCUGGCAUGUUCUAAGUUUGUUCUUAUAUUUCAAUAUUAUCUGGACUAUUCAAUAUCUUGACAUUUAUGGGCUUUUGCAUUUUCAUAUAAGUUUUAGAAUCAGCUUGGCAAUUUUCCACAAAAAAUGUGGCCACAUUACGAUUGAAAUUGCUUUGGUUCUAUUAAUAAUUUGGGGGAAAUUGUCAUCUUUAACUUAGUCUUUUAUUUCAUGAAUAUUGUUCAUGCUUCAUUGAUUUCCAUCUUUUAAAAUUAGUUUUAGUAAUAUCUUGUUCUUUUGUGAUGCCUUAUUUUUAAUUAGUUUUUUUCCUAGGAAUUUGAUAUUAUCUGAUAUUUCAAUUGUAUCACAGAUCAGUUUAAAUUAUCUACUUAUAGCUAGUAUGUGGAAAGAAAAUGGAUAUUUGCUUAUUGACCUUAUAUUCAAUAAGCUUGCUAGAUUGGUUGAUACCAAUAGGUUUUCUCUAGAUACUGUUUUUGUUGUGUUUUCUAUGUACACAUUCAUGUCAUCUAUACUGGUAGAAAUUUUAGCUCUUUCUGUCCAACCCUUCUGCCAUUUAUAUUGUUUUUGUUCUUUCUUGUAUCACUGCUGUUAGCUAAAAUUAAUGUUGACAUGUGGAUGGCAAACACCCUUGUAUGUUACUGAUCUCUGGAGGAAGGUAAUAUUUUACCAUUAAAUGUGAUGUCUGCUGUAGUUGUUUGUAAACAUCUUUAUCAGGUUCAUGUUGGGAAAUUCACCUUUAUUCCUAGAUGUAAGUCAUAUUGACAGAAAGUACUUUACAUUACUUUAAAAAAAAGAAAAUCCAGGCGUCUCUAUUGUGGCACGGUGGAAACAAAUCCAACCAAUAUCCAUGAGGAUGUGGGUUGAUCCCUUGCCUCGCUCAGGGGGUUGGGGACAUGGUGUUGCUGUGAGCUACCGUGUAGGUCACAGAUGCAGCUUGGAUCCUGCAUUGCUGUAGCUGUGGCGCAGGCCGGCAGUUGUAGCUCCAAUUCAACCCCUAGCCCCUAGGAACUUCCAUAUGCCAUGAGUGUGACCCUAAU